This 43157-nucleotide long non-coding RNA is filed under the name Coffea arabica (coffee). The record is from RNAcentral. Lineage: Eukaryota; Viridiplantae; Streptophyta; Magnoliopsida; Gentianales; Rubiaceae.
UUUUUUUUUUUUUUUUUGUAGUGUCUGUGAGUUAUUUCUUUGUAAAUAUAUAUAUCUUUGCUUUCCUAUAUAUAUCUUUUACAAUAUAAUAUAUAUAUCUUUGCUUUCCUAUAUAUAUAUUGUAUUCAUUGUAAACAGAUUUCUUGCUUGAAAUUCUGCUUGGUUAGGGGGAGAGAGAGAGAGAGUGUGUGUGUGUGUGUACAAAUAUGUGUGUAUACAAUAUAUAUAUACAUAUAUAUAUAUAUAUGCAUAUGCAUAUAUGUAUAUGCAUAUAUGUAUAUGUAUGUGUAUGUGUGCUUUAAAGUUUAUAUGUUUGUUAUGUUAAGGCAAACAUAACAAACGUUAACAGUGGACAAUACCAUGCAUCUAAAAAUAAUUAAAAUUUUGAAUAAUGUAAAUAACGUUAAAAAGAAAAACUUUGUGUACACCAUAGUGAAGUAAAUUUCUAAAUUUUUUGAUAGCUACUAUAAUAAUGUGUUCAUUCUUCUCAUUGUAUUUUCAAAAGCUACAUAUUAACCGUUAGCGUUAUUUUAUAAGUUCUACUUUUGUCUCAUAAAUAAAAAAGUCUCAUAAGAGUUUAGUGUUCAAGCUUGCUACAUUAAUCUUCAAACUAACUUGGAAUUUCAGUUUAAGCAUUAAUUGGCUUAAAAGCUAUUAUCAAAACCGAACGGAAUUUCUUGAAACAUACAAAUAGUGGCAGACUCAAAACCUUAUGGGAGAUGGAGGCAAUUGUAAUUUCCAUAACUUCAUUGCGGUUUAUGCGAUUUAUGUAUCCCAUAUGUUUAUAUUCUCAUAAAUAGAAGAAUUCAUAUAUACACGUAACCAUGAAAUUAUACAUAGUACUAUACAAUUAGAUAAAAAAAAAAAAAAAAAGAAGAAAGAAUAAAAAGAAUUCUGCAUUCAGCAUCGGGCUAGUUCAUGAUAAAGAUUAAUGACAUCCAGAAAACCUUCUUCCGCAUCGUUCCGACCGACUUCGACCGCCGUUCGAAUUAAAGUUGGAAGAGAAGGUCUAGGAUGAUUGACAAGAGUCAGUCAGGUCAACCAAGGAUGCUGCCGAAGAACCACUUUUUUUUUUUUUUUUAAAGGUAAUUGUUAGCCACCACGAUCGAAAUGCAAGAAAUAUUGUAACACAUUCUGAGCCGAGUGGACUUAGGCAGGUCAUCCUUGGCUAACCCACGAGAUUCUUUAUCUUCAUACAAGACCUCCCUUCCUCUAGUUCUAAAUCCUGCUAUUGAUCGAUGCUUAGAAGAUAGAAAUAAUGCUAAGAUAAAUGUGGCUAUUUAUAGGCAAUAAGGAGGCAAAAAGAUUAGAUCCGCGUAAGGAGCUUUCUUGACACUGUGAACCCCAAAAUUCUAUCUUGUGAUUUUUUAUCCCCAUUUGCUUGAGAUGAAUAUAUUCCCCAUUGUUUAAGGGGAGAACCAUAUCCAAAUUGUGAAAUGAGAUUGGGAAGACGAGGUGGAAAAGCAGCAUGUUUAUCCCAACUUGUACUGAAUCCCAUUUUUGCGCAUUUAUGCCCCAUUUUUUUUGUCACUGUUAAUUGGGAAAUUAAUCACUCAAAAUUUCUAAAUUUCAUUGAACGUUCGGAUAUGGCUACUCCCUUUUGAAUAUAACUGGUUGACUGAUCCCAGUCUGAACUCUCAUUAGGAUAAGUUGCAGUACCACAUUACCUUAAUGUUAGUCUCACACAGUCUUAAGUUGCAAUGCACUGUAUAUGUAUAUUGAUGCAGUCGCACGAUUUGUGGAUUGUAGUAUUCCAACAAUUGGAGGAAGAAAAAUGACUGUAUGCGAGUUCAAAUCUUCGUUUAAUAUAGUUAUACGUUAGUAUUUUUGACAUUAUUAGCGGAAUAGUUUGUCAUAUCAUUGUGUUGUAAGUAUCCAUAGUCAUUUCAUUAAAUAUUGUGUCAUAACAAUCUUAUAAAAAAAAACAGAAACAAAAUAACAAACUGUUGGGGGUUUUUUUUUUCCUUUUGAUUGUUCAAUCUUAUAUUCUUAUCCAUAAAGCCACCAUCAUCCCAGUUAGAGCCCAUGCAUGUACGGAUGGUUGACUUUCUGAUCUGUGUACUUCUUGCUACACUUCUGCUCUGACAGUCGAAAUUUGAUUCUCAUGCUGAUUAAUAUUCCCCAAGCAAUCGAAUUCCAUCACAAAUGACCACUUGAAUAAAAAUGUUAAUGCUCCAAGUACCAAGCAAACUUUGCUUAGCAUUAUUUUGCUUCAUUUUCAAGCAUCUAACUCUUGGCUUUGCACUUUGUCAUUAGCUGUUUUUGCCAACAAAGAUGUUCUCGUGGGCUCGAAUGGACAUGGAAGCUGAUGCAGAACAUUCAAGAACUAAAAUCUAGCACUAAUCUGCUCUGAAAAUUAUCGGCUAAAGAGAUAAAAAUCAAGUGCAAAUGAAUAAGGAUGGAUACCAUGUGAUGCAAAAUUUUAGUGACUCUCUCUGACAUUUAUUAAUACAAAUAUAGAACGACCUCUCCUCAAGUUUUACAUAGCGUCGUUAUGUUAUCCCAUUUUCAAUUGUUAUCAAAAUGUUUAUUUUCUCUAAAAUAUUAAUAUGCCAUUCGGAGGGUAGUGUUGGAAGUUCAGUCUAAACUUGGAAACAAAAUAAAGUGCAUGCACUUGUGAAAACCCAAAAUCAGUGUUACAUCAUCCGCCAAAAAUGAGUUAUUACAUAAGUGAUUUUAACAUUCUUGCAAUACCUGGAAAAGGGACAAAAAAAAUGUCUAACUUUUAAUAUGUGAAACCACAGAAACAUGUUAAUUCUGAUAUGUAUGAUCAUCCUCAUAUUAAUACCUUAGGCGGGUACAUUUAGACGUACGUACUAAUGCAAAAAUCGAAGCUGUUUUGUGUGUGUUUAUAUGUGUGUGUGUCUACAUCUAGUAGCCACAAAUUUGCACCCUAGAUAAUGCAGUUUUGAUCAAUGCUUGGGCUGAUAAUUCAGUAGUUGGAUGUCUGGUUCUUGAGGUAGAAUUUCACAACCUCAAUUCCUAAUGUUCUAUCUUCCCAAAAAAGUUGGAAAAAAUAAUGCCUGUGACUAUUAGAUAUGUGAAUGGUUGAGCUGAUAGCCAAAAGCAUAGCCAUAUAUUUUUUGCAUGGCUGCGAUUCUGUUAAGUUUAAUUACUUCUCUAUAAAAGCAGCAAGAACACAUCUAAAGAGCUGUGGAGUUUCCAUCUUGAUGAAGUGAGUUGGUGGUAUAUUUUCAACGUAUUUAGGACAGCUUUUAAUUUCGAGAAAUUAUAGAACCAUGAGCUUCAAAGUUAAUUUUGUUAUGUGCACUUAACAAUUGCUUCUUUUUCUUUUUUACCCAAAAAAAAAAAAAUUGUAAGAUUCUACCAUAACAGUUGAAAUGAAAAUACUAAUAUCAAAUGAACUCGCAGGUUGGUUAAGAAUAAGAAGGGCAAUAAUUGAUGACAGAAACGUAAUGAUGUUCAAAUGAUUUCUUUGUUUUUUCCCCGUCAAGCUAGCUAGUGUGAUCGAUGGCUCCCUAACCAACUAAUAUUACAAUAUUCGUUUAAUAAGGAUUUGUUUACAUAUAUCCAUAUCUCCUAUCUUUCAGUUAAGAGUCGAAGAAAGUGAAAGAUGAAGGCACAGAACUUCAAGCAGUGUUGUUGAUGUCGGACAAAUUUGGCCAAUUCUGCAGUAACUAGGUCCCAGAUGUGGCCUAAAAGUAGUGAUUUCAACCAAGAUCGUCGAUGAACUAGUCAAGAACCGGAUGAGCAAUCUAAACCAGCGUUGGACUGGAUAUACACUCUUUUUUUUUUUGGUUUUUUUCUUUUUUUUCCCCAAAAAAAAAAAGGGAUUUUGAGCUUUUGGAACCUAAUGAAGCCACUGGUUCAAGGAGUCACUUGGCUGGCUCCUUUCUUCUUCAAAGAACAUUUGCUUGAAGCUCUUCACAACUGCACAUUCUCUAUCAAUCCCACCUUUCAAUUAAGUUCGAUCAGAUGUUUGGUAGUUAAAAAAAGAGUUGAACCUCUAUUAUACAACAUUUUGCUGGCAAAUGUUAGGAAAAAUUGCAACUUUUUACCGUGUAAAAUUGCUAACUUGAAAUUUUAUUACGAAAAAUUCUUAAUUACAAGCAUUUUGCUCAAUGAAGAAUUUUUGCAGCAAAAAUUGCGCAUCAAAUGAAUAAUAUUAGACAUCACUAAUGCUCCAAAUAUAACAUAAAUUGUUAUAUUACUCAAAAAAAAAAACAUAAGUUGUUGUAUUUAUAUGUUCUCUCUCUCAACACACACAGGCGCAAAAACACAUAAACGUUUGUGUACCUUCAUAAGCAUUUUUGUGAAAACAGCAACUUCAACAUCCAAAAUUUGUUUCUUAAACAAACAGAAAAACAAGACCUCUGUACAACUCCAAGCCUUCUGUUUCACCAAGAUUGUCUUCCCAAACAUGGAAGAGAAAGUCUAGCAUGAUUGAUAAGAGCCAAUCUGAAGCCUUGGAUGACCUGCCUAAAAAUAACCUUAGGACUCCUAACCAAUCGUUUUUGUUACAUUUGGCUUAAGUCAAUUAUGUUACAUUCGGCUUGUAAGACUGCUAAAGUACUAAAACAUGUUUUAUACACAAUUUUGUACUAAAAUGCAACCUUAUCACAUAUCCAAAUGUUUGUGAAGAUAUAGACUAAAAUUUACCCCAAAAAAAAAGAAAAGAAAAGAAAAAUCAUUUGAAGAAGGCAAACCCUCGAGUGGAUUUAGGCAGGUCAUCCUUGGCUAUCAAACAAGACUCUUUAUCUCCAUACAAGACCUCUCUCCCUCUCAUUUCAAGCACUGCACUUAUGCUUAAAGUAGCAGCACAAUACAACUGGCUAUAUAUAGGGGAGAGGAGGAAAAGAGAUUAGAUCCGAAAUGCCGCACGCAUAUGGAGUUAACUUGGCCCCAUAAUUAUUGACACAUUUUCAGCAUAUUCUUUGCUUUCAGACCUCGUACCACAGUUGACAUUAAUGCUAUCAGCCAAUUAUGCAUGAGGGAAUAGAUUCCACUAAGCGGUAGGGACCAAUCAUACCCAGUCCAUAUCUGGAUUUGAGAUUGGAAAAAUAGGGUCUAAAAGCCACAAGAUCAAUCCAACUUGUGCUGAAUCUUAAGUCCAUGCAAGAGCUAAGCCUGGUGUUCUUUAGUAGUAAAUCUUUCAUGGUAAUUAAAUUGGUUAAAAUGUCGUGCAGAGGUGGGAAAAAGUUACCCGUGGACUGAUAUCCAGCAAAUUACUGGUCAUACAUACCAAAUUAUUAUUAAUAAGUCUCUUUGGCUUGCAAAUUUUGGUCUCAUCCAAAAAAGAACUCACCUGUGCCACUAUAUUGUGGGAUAAGAGGUCAAUGGUUUAAAUCUUACCUUACCUCCUAUCAAUGUGCAACUAUAUACGUGACUUCUUCUAAAUCUAUACGGGUGCGUGGUGCACCCGUAUGAUCUGAUAGUGGUUCAGUUCUCAUUGAUUUUCUCGAUUUAGUUGGGCCACCCCCUAGAGUAAGUUAGAGUGAGAGUAGGAGUAGAUUAGACUAGAUGUGCCGUUAUCGAAAAAAAAAAAAAAAAAACACUCGCCUGAACAAAAUUAUCCGAAAUGAGUUGGGCAUGGUUGAGGUACUUGAUGCUCUCUUUAGGUCAUAUAGAGCUUGCCUUUCGGUUGGAUUGCUGAACAGGUCUCAUGGAGAUGGGCUAUGGUUGGACCAGAACAAGGUGAUUUCCCUCAUCAACGAGACAGGAAGAUUACGUAGGCAUAAUUGGUGAACAAGAAAUAAUUAACAUAGUACAGGGGGUUAUGUUCUUGUUUUUUGUUCGUAGGUAGGUACGAGAUGCCAUACCACUACCUUUUGCAAGGAAAGGAAAAGAUAAAUUAACAGAAAAGCUAUUGAUUGAAGGAAUUUAGAGAAUGGUUAUUGAAUUUUGUAUUCGAGAAUUUUUUUCCAUAAUUAGGAAAUUUGACUUGGACAGGAACUGAGUUACGUACUGAUAGCCAUGUUUAGGCGAGUGCAUCUUUAAUAAAUUAGUCAAGCACAUUUCCAACGCGAUCAAUUAGCGAAAAAUGGAUAAUUAUACUUGUCAAACUCCUUGGAUUAUGUUAAAUUUCGUUUUAAGAGCUGGUGUAAUUAACAUCUUCAAAAAUAAUAAAUCAGUUAUUACCCCUAAGACGUUGUUCGAUAGUUACAGUAAUCAAAUGACUGUGAAAUCUCUUACUCGACUCUAACACCCUCUCAUUUCCCUUUCCAUAUAAGGUUUAACCUCUCUAUUAAAAAAAGAUUAAUAACUGAAUUUGACUUCAAUACAAUUUUCAAGCUCGACGGCUAAAGGUUAAAAAUACUUUGGAUCGUGAAAGUUCAAAACCAAUAAGUGAUAGUAGAUAAGAAUAAGGCAUUUUUUCCGCUUAAAGAUAAAUGGAAAUAUAUAGACUUGAAACGUCUCUGGACUAGUUGAACUUUGCUUCUUCCGAGAACUUUGUUGAAGGUAGUCCUUCUUUUGUUUCUAUCCGAGAGAAUUACAAGCUCAAUUAUAGUUUAAGGACCUGUUGGAUAAUCCAAUUCAGUACUUAAAUUUACUGGAUUCAGAACUUAACAUAUUCAGACCGUUUGAUAACAAAAUAUUGAACAUCUGAAUUAAUUAAGUGACAUUGAAUUUUCUAGGCAAAACAUGCUCUCAAAAUUAAGUGAUAACCUAUUCACUUAUCACUGAAUGUGGUAUGCGUUCAAAUGUAUUAAAUUUGAUAUUUAACAAUUCAAUAACUUAAUCGAUUCACACUUUAGAUUUCAUAUUUCAGUUUUCAAACUUCAAUUUUAUCAGGUUAUUCAAGAAUCAAAUACCUUGUUAUCACGGGUAAAUCUUAUUCAGGAAAUAACAGUAUAGCCUUAAUAAUUAAAAAAAAUUUCUCGAAAUGCUUAUGAAUGGAAAUUCAUGUAUGGAAGCCCAUGCAGAAUUAUUCUACUUUGGUCAUAUUCCGCCAUUCCAAUGCUAUCCUUUCUAGGGCCCAGUCAAGGAGCUUUUGGUCCGACAAGUCCGUAUUGGCUUGGAAUCUUUAUUAAAAAAAAAAAAAAAUCAACCAUAAAAAGAGUAUGGAAGUCUCAACUAGGGAUAGUUUGCAUAAAAUCCAGUAGAUGGAAAUUAAACUAAAAAGACUGUCAUAUAAAGUUGAGGGAAAAAACAAGAAAUUCACCAUGGUAGAAAGUUGAAGCUAAGAUCGAGUUAAAUAAGCAAAGACAGGGGUGAUCAAUAUGUAAAAUAACAUCAAAAUGCUUUGGGCAAAUUUCCCUUUAUAAGCAAAUUAAGUGCAUUAAUCGCAUUACAUAUUUGAAAUUAACAAAAGAAAAUUAAUGAAUGUUAGUUCCUUUUUUUUCUUCUUUUUUUUUUUUUUUUGAAUUCCCACCUCUCCCCACACCCUUCCCAACCCGAACUGGAAUGAUAGCUCACCCUUGUAUACAACCCAGUUUAGCUAAAGAAUGCAAUCUAGAGCAAUGAAAAGCGAUUGCUUACUUUUACAAAAACAAGACAAGAGGAAUGGAAAAAAAGCAAAUUGUUUAUGUAUUCAGGUACUAGAAAACUAAAUAUGUACCAACUAAUAUACAUGGGUGAUAAUAGUAUUCUUCAAAAAAACAAUUUCUUUAUGCCAAACUUGUUUACUGAGUUAAUUAUGUGGCUCAACCCUACUAAUCAUGGCUUAUUAAUGCAGAUAUAUACCUAUUAAUCAUGGAUAAUUAAGAAACCACUAUAUCAUGCAUGCAUUGUCCAUAUUCUACUUUACGUGAGGGACGAUUGCUUAAUGCAGAUAUAACGGUUGCCCAGGAAAAUGACCAAAAAAAAAAAAAAAAAAUGGUAGGCAGCCCCCAAUUAUCUCUUCUACUGGGCGACUGAAAAAGUUCUGGUAUCUAUACUCGUGGAGUUGUACCAAUUUAGCACACUUUGAUUCUAGUGAUACAUGAUAUUGUGAAAUUAAUGGUGAAAUGUUGACAUUCAUAACGCUUCAAUUUCUCUACAGAUUGAAAGACAUUAGGUAAAACAAUAAAAUGAAAAGUGAGAAGUUGAUUAAUGAAAACCGAAUUCACAUAAGAUGGUGCAGGUUGAUGAUACUUAAAUUGUGCCAAUUUGGAAGAGAAAGUCGAGCAUGAUCAAUAAGAGCCAGUCAGGAUAGCCAAAGGAUGACGCCUAGAAACAAGCUUAGGGCUCCUAAUUCAAUCAUUGGAUCCUACACUUGGAUUCAGAGGGGCACAGCUAAAACAGUGAGAUUGAGAAGUAUAUACUAACAAGAAAAAAAGGGCAUUGAACCCUUGAGUGGAUUUAGGCAAGUCAUCCUUGGCUACCUAACAAGACUCUUGAUGACCAUUCAAGACAUCUCUUCCACCCCAUUUGAGCAAUGCAUUUCUGCUUACCAAUGCUGAAGUAUCAGAUGGCUAUUUAUAGGCAAUAAGGAGUUAAAAAUAUCAUUACCAAAAGUAGCAUGCAUGGUGGUUCUCCAUUAGUCGUCCUAUAGGAAUUGAAACAUGUUCAGCAAUUGUAUCUCUUUCUUAUUUCUCUAUUCGGCUGACCUACGUACACAUUUUAUCCACUUGUUACCAUAUGACAUGGUGGAAUAUAUUCCCAUUUGUAGAGGGACCAAUCAUAUUUCUGGGGAAUUAGGAAUACAGAAAGGGCAAGGCAAUAAUAAGUUGGCAAAAUCGGGCUGCAAAGCUCUUGGCCUGGGAAUUUAACUUUGUUUUGAAUCUGAAGUCGGUGAAAGAUUUCGAGACUCAAUCUUAAACAAAAUUAUUGGCUUAGGAUUUAGGAUAGUCUAGUAAUUUGUUACUGUAAACUUGCCUGAAGAUAUAAUCUUGAUUUUGGACAGUGUCUCCGAAUUCCAUUUCUUCUCUUUUUCUGGCACAAUAAAGAUGUGACAUACAGACUUAAGUCUGAAAUGAUUUACCUUUGGAUAUCUAGGUGAAUUUUAGAUUGUGCUACUGACAAUUAAGCAGAGAUUAAGCUGAUAUAACCCUUUAACAAACAUAUGUUGAUUGGGCCAGAUGGUAUUUUCUCAUAUACUAUACAAUUCAAAUCAAAAUUCAUUAUAAAGGUGACUCAUUAUCUACGUACAUUAAUUAUUGUAUAUACGUGUUGUGUAUUAUUUGGGACUAAAUCUCAAUCCAAUAAUCGAUUCACAAAUUGAUGCUGCAAGCCUGCAACUUGAGCCAUCUAGAAUUCCAUUUAUCCUAGUUUUCGGUCCUUCACUAAGAACCGUUCAGCAAUACUUUUUUUACACAAUCUAUAGUGAAAUAGUAUGACUUUGUGGAUAUGACAAAACUUAUGGAUCCAAGCUGUCACUUCCAGCAUGGUCAAUCCAAUUCCCCUUUGACAUGCCUCGAAAAGUUUGACCCUACUUUGAAGGAGAACCCGGAAAGAAGAAUAAAUUGAGGGCUUGAAAUGCUGAUUAUUAGGCAGGUUCAUCAUUCUAAAGAGACAAAUUGAUGCACCCUUGUACUGCAAUAUUCCUCCUGAUUUUGUAAGUUCAGUAUUCCCACUUUCAUCGAAGGAAAUCUAUGCCAUAUGUCCAUUGUCCAAUCAACAAGUAACAAUGCCAAUACGCUUUAAAUCUCAAUAAUGACCAAAAGCUUCAUCUAGCUUUGUUCUGUUUGACUUUUAAUUAUUCAAUCAGUUGGGAUUGAAUACGUGAUUCCAAGCUUCUCCAUCAAAAAAGUGAUGGAAGAGAUGAAUUUCCAUCCCCUAAUUUCUUGAAUAAAAGUUGUAUACUUUGGUUCUGUCAUGGGUUCGCCAGGGACACAAGAAUUCUCCAUGGAGUUGCAACGUACCUUUGAGUUUACCCUUGAUUUGUAGUCCCACUGCAUUAUUGAUGCGACUUGUUCAUUAAGAAUAGGUUUCCUCCUCUUCAGAAAGUUUUUGUUGGAAAUUUUUAUUUUUUUUUUUGCAGCGUCUGAUAGGAAUUGAUUGAAAGAGACAUAAUAUCCGGGACAACAUGAUUGAAACUCCAAACCUUUUUAGAAAAGUUUAGGUUGUUGGAGUAUCAUAUUAUCCCAAUGAGAUGGUUCCAAUAGCUUGUCUUGAAUUAAAAAGGGAUAAUUUUAGAAACCUCUCCUAAAAUUUCUAGCAAUUUCACGAAGCUCCUUCAAGAUUUUAAAACUAUGCUCACCUCCUCUAAUUUGACACUUUUAGUGACCAAACGUUAAAAUAGGUCAAAAAUUUAAUGAAUACCCUAAAAUGCUCUCAUCUAAUAAAGUCUAAUUUAUUAUUCUAAACAAUUAAUUGUAAUUUAGCACAAUUACAAAGAAAUGAGUUUCAAGUAUUUUGUGCCCGAUAUUUAUUAUUUGAUAAUAAAAUACAAAGAUAAAUUUCAUUAGGAUAAGCUUCUUUUAAUAGUGCAUUAUUAAAGAUAGAGAUUCUUUUUAAGAUGGAGAAAAAAGUGUCACCAUAAUUUUUUUUAAAGUUUGUGGAUUGGUCAAGUGGUAGAACUAUUAUAGUUUAUUAGUGAUUUUGGCCCAUUUAUUUUUUAUUUAUUAUUGAGUUUGAUAUCAAAAAAAUAAAUAAACAAAUAAGAGCUGAAAAAGAAUAAGAAGAUAUUUAAAGUUAUCAAAAAAAAAAUUACUAUUUUGACAUUUGAUCAUGAUGGAGGCUAGGGACUAAUAAUACUGGUGAUUUUGCUGACAGAAUAUAAGAAUAAUGAAGAAGAAGAGAAAUGGGAAAAAAAUGUAUAAAGCCCACCCUUUUUAAUUACGCAUACCAACUUCUUAUGAAAUUGGUACCAAGACAUUACACAUGCCCAAUUUCUUUGUCUAAUAUAUGUGUUUAUUGGACAAAUAUAUUCUCUAAAUUGUAGAUAGAUCUAACAUGCAAUUCUAUUAUGUUCUUAUAUUGCUUAAGACAUUUCCAAAAUCACUUUUUUCCUUAAAAUUUUUUCUCUGUUUUAGCAAAGAUUCUGCUAUUGCCCUUUGGCAUUUAGUUAUUUUUACCUUUCAAGUUUCCAGAAGUUCUUUAUUUCUAGUUUCAGAAAGAAAAUGUUAUAUCAUGAGUUUAAAUGCAAACACAUGUACCUCUUUAAAGUCUUGAUUAAAGUUUUCUUAAUACUAAAAAAUUAUUUUCGUUAAGAGCCCAUCAAGGUGAAAAUAUUAUAAUUACUUUCUCUAUAUUAAUUAUGAACAGAUUUAUACAAUUAUCCUUUUAUCAAUUAUUCUAGAGUAACAUUUUCUUUUCCAUCAAUUAGGACACAUAUAACGAAUAUUAACCCUUUAUUUGUUCAGUUUAAAAAUUGGAUAAAUCUUAUACACUGAGGAAUCUAAAUGCACGUCACAUAUGCAAAGAGAUACGGGCAUAGCAUAUGCAAAGUUUGAUAUUCAAAUUCAAAUUAAGAUAACAUGGCAUAUGUAUAAACCUAUCAACAUAUAUUAAUAACGUAGGAAAGAUUAAUUCUUAAAAAUUACCUAUGAAUAUCAUUUCAAUGGAAUAGUGUAAAUAACGUUUAGAAAACACUUUUUGGUACACCAUCAUGAACUAUCUACAGUGAAAAAAAAUCGAAUGAUUAAAUCUUUUAUAAGUAACCGCAGGAAUAUGUACAAUCUUCUCAUUUUAUUCAUAAAAGUUACAGGUGUGAACGUUAUUCCCCAUGUUCUACUUUUUACUCCUCAUAGAUUAGAGGCUUGUAGAAAAGUCUCUUAGGAGGCAAAUAUCUUACUGUUUAAUCUAGCUUUUCUAUUUAAACUAAGUUGAAAUUUCAGUUAAGCGUUGGCUUUAAAAUUAUGGGAGCCAAGUUCAUCAUUUGAAGGUUAAAAAUUAUACCCACGUACAUAUAAAAUUGUAGAGUAAGAAGGUUAAGACAAUUCUAUAUGCAUCACACGGCUAAAUUCUAAUAAAAUUGAUGUCUUAAAUUCCUGACAUAACAUCCAUAAAGCCUUCUUCCGAAGCACCCCUGAUUUCUGACCAACCAUGGGAAGAGAAGGUCUAGGAUGAUUGACAAGAGUCUAUCAGGUUAAGCCAAGGCAAGGAUGACACCUAAGAUCCAAUUUUAUAAGGUAAUUAGACACUUCGAAAUGCAAGAAAUGAAGCAGGUACAUUUUUAGCCGAGUGGGUUUAGGCCAGUCAUCCUUGGCUUACCAGCAUGAUUCUUUAUCUUCAUACAAGACCUUCCUUCCUCUAUUUCCAAAUGAUGCUUAGAAGUUAGAAAUAAUGCUAAGAUAGAAGUGGAAAUUUAUAGGCAAUAAGAAGUGAAAGAGAUGAGAUCCGAGAAUCCACACAAGGAGCCCUCUUGGCUCCAUAACCAGAAAAUUUUUAUCUCUUAUGGUUUUCAAAAUUUUCUUGUAUAAUUAUCCCCAUAUGCAUGGGAUGAAUAUGUGCCCGCUCUUGAAAGGAAGAACCAUGUCCAGUUGCGGUUCCAGAUUGGAAAAACUUGGUGGGAAAGCAACAUAUAUAUACUACUUUAUUUGUUCCAACUUGGUUGAAUCCCAUUCUUGCGCAUUAUAAAAAGACUAUCCAAGAAAAAUACUUUAUAACAAAAGGGAAAAAAAGAAGCCAAGUUUGAUUAGUUAUAGAAGUUGAGAAAUAAAAUAACAAAUUGUGGGAUGUUGUUUUUGCUCAAUUUAUCUAUCUAUAAAUCCAUCAAUGUAACAGUUAGAGCCUAUAGAUAAUAGAUGGUUGACAUUCUGAUCUGUCGACUUCUAUCUGGUUUUCUGCUUUGACAUUCGAAAUUUUAUUCUCAUAUAUGUUGAUCAAUAUUCCCCAAGCAAUCAAAAUCCAUCACAAAUGUCCACUUGACUUAAAAUGUCAAUGCUCCAAGUAGUAAGCAAACAUUGGUUAGUAUUAUUUUGCUUCACUUUCAAGCCUUCAACUCUUGGCUUUGAACUAAUUCGGUACCGGUUUUGCCAAUACAUAUGUCCACAUCGAUCGGCAUGGACGCUGAUGUAGAACAUCCAAGAACUAAAUUUUAGCACUAAUCUGUUCCUGUAAUUAUCAGCUAAAUACCCACCACCAAAAAAAAAAUUGCAAAUGAAUAUGGAUACCAUAUUACCUUGUGAUGGAAGCUUCUUAGGACUCUCUUGACGUUCAUUACAAGGAACUCUUGGGCUUUUGAAGAUAUAGUAUUCCCUUCUCAAGUUUUACAUCAGAUCUUUUGUCAUUUGCUAUCAAAAUGUUUGUUUUCUGUAAAGCAUUAACAUGGAAUUUGGAGAGGUAAUGGAUCCAGGGAAACCAGGAGGGGCCCUCCCCUUUUCCAGUUUUUAUUCCUUUUAAAAUUAGAAAUUUUUAGAGCAUUCUUUAUAUAUUUAAAGUUUCACCCCCACAAAAACUUAAAAAUAUUUUUUGUUAUGCAUAAAAAGUUUAGGUAUACUCUCUCGAGAUGAAUUUUGCGGCUCUGUCUAUAAUUCGGAGUGCAGUGCACUAGAAGUUCAAUCCAAUAUUUUGAAAUAAAUUAAAAGCCGAUGGUGUUAUGACAACCCAAAAUGAGUGUUAUAUCAUCAACCAAAAGUGACUUACAUCCCGUUUGGCAUUGUAGUAUCUUAUAAAAAAGCACUUCUAAUACAAGUUUUUUGUAACAAAAUUACUUUUAAGAUAACAUAAACUGGACUCCUUAAAUUACGAGAAAUUAGUUAUCAAACACCCUAAAAGUGCUUUUAGUAUUUAAAAGCAUUUUUAUUUUUAUAAAUGCACCGCAGCCCCAAACGGAAUUUUAGUAGUCAGGAUUAAAUAACUACUUUUAACUUUCUUGCAGUACUUGGGAAAGGGACAAAAAAUGUUUGACUUUAAAAAUUGUGUUAUGAUUGAUGUCAUAUAAAUACUUUGGACGGAUGCAUUGGGGCGUGCUAAUGCAGAAUUGGGGUGCCUGUGCAUGUCUAGUACGAGCAUGGUUUUGUUUUGUACAUGUUCUAGGUAGAAAUUUACUCAACACGAAAUGUUUUCUUUUCCAUGCUGGCUCUUCUGUGUUAGGGAUACUUCUCUAUAAACUGUCCAAUUAAGCAAGAACACCUGUAAAAAGCCGUGAUGUAUAAACCAAAUUUUUAGAUAUUCGGGCCUCAAUCUUGAUCAAUAAACCAAAUUUCAUUUGCUUGUGUUAUAUGCACUAUAAGCACUAACAAUUGUUUAAAAAAAGAAAAAAAGAAAUUUUCUGAUUCUAUCAUAAGAGUGGAGAUGAAUAUAAUAUCAAAUGUAGUAUGGUUAAAAAUAAUAGUAAUGAUUCAUAACAGAUAUGUUGUGAUGUUCAAAUCUUUUCGUUCUAUUCUUUUUUCCAUCAGGUAUGAUGGGUCCCUAACCACCUAAGACUACAUAUUUAUCUAAUUAGGAUUUAUGUACAUACUUUCAUUUCACUUUCCUUUUUGUUAAAAGUCGAAGAAAAUGAAAUAUGAUUAUGCACAGGAAUUCAAGCAGACAAAAUUGGCUGAUCCUGCGGUAAACAGGCAUCAGAUGUGGUAGUAAUUUCAACUAAUUAAGAUCGUCAAUGAACCAGACAAGAAUCGGAUAAGCAAAUCAAAACCAGUUUUGGACUGGAUGUACAAUUUUUCUCAAGGGAUUUUGAGCAUUUUGACCUGAAUGGAACCGCCGGUUCAACCUGUGAUUUGGCUGUUUCCUUUCUUCUACAUGUUCAUAAACAUUUUCCUGAAGCUCUUCACAUUCUUUAUUCAUCCCACCUUUUAAUUAAUUAAGUUCGAUCAAAUGUUUGGUGGUUAAGAAGGAGUCGAACUUCUGCUGUUAAAGAUUUUUACUUGCAUGAUGUGUUAAAAAGAGAAACCAACUUUCUUGAUUCACCAAAGAGAAGCAAGAAAGGUGUAUCAAAUGAAUAAUAUUAGGAAUCAGAAAUGCCCCAUUUAUAACAUAAGUUGUAUCUACAUGUCAUCUCUCUCGAUACAUGCAGGAGCCAAACACAUCUAUGUAUUUGUGUGUACAAUUUGUGAGACAACAGCAAGUUACAUAUCUAAGAUAUGCUUCUGAAAUAAAUGGCGAAGUAAGACCUGUCUGUACAAUCAAGAUAUUGUCUUCCCAGUCAGGAAUCCGCAUGAUCCAUCCAUGGAAGAGAAAGCCUAGCAUGGUUGAUAAGAUCUGGUUUGAAUAGCCAAGGAUGACAGGCCCUAAAAGCCCCUUAGGACUCCUAACUUUUUUUUUUUUUUUUGGGGUAAGCCUUAUGGCUCCUAAUUGAUUGCUAAUAUUACGUUUCGAUUAAAUUUAUGUUCCGUUUCGGCUUUUUGUAGUUUUGUGGACAAUUUAAUACUCAGUUUGAGUACUAAAAGACCAUUAAACUCUGAUUUAUACGAAAAUGAUAACCUCCCUAGUCUCCUCGUCACACAUCAAAAAAUAUAUAUAUUUUUUUUUGAAGAUAUAACCAAAAGAAAAAAAAAUUUUGAAAAAGGACACCUUGUCUUGCCAACCCAAACCCUUGAGUAAAUUAGGCAAGUCAUCCUUGGAUAUCAGACAAGGCUCUUUAUCUCCAUACAAGACUUCUCUUCCUCUUUUUUCAAGCUCUGCACUCACCCUUGCAAUAGUGGUAUAAUAUAACUGACUAUAUAUAUGGGCGAAAAGGCAAAGAAAUUAGAUCCGAAAUGCCGCAAAUUGAGCUCACUUGGCCCUGUCAUUGUUUUAUUUGGUUCAGUUUUCAUAACACAGUUGACAAUAAUGCAAUUAUCCCAUUGUGCAUGGGGGAAUAUAUUCCACUCUGCAGCAGGUACAAUCACAUCCAGUCCACAUCUGGAUGUGAGAUUGGAAAAAUGGGGUCUAAAAGCCACAUCGUCAAUCCAAACCCAACUCCUGCUGAAUCGUCGAGUCUAUUCAAGAAAUAAGCCUGGUGAUCUUUAGUUGUAAACCUUUCAUGGUAAGUUGGUGAAAGUUUACUUAUCAAAAAAGAAUAAUGGUGAAGAAUUUUUGCAGACAUUGGAAAAACCCCUCAACUAAUAUCUUGCAAAUAAUCAGUGCCCAAAACUCUUAUCUCAGACAAUUUACACCUUGGGAGGUAUGAACCGUAUUUGAAUUACAAACAUCAGUCAACUAUUCCUUAUUACUUAAUGCCGCUAAACUAUUUGCUUAAUCCGUAAACUAAACAUCUUCUCAUCCGAUUUUCUAAAUAUCAGGCGAUGGAGAGUAACAAUUAAGAGUCAUAUGUGUCUUUCACUCUCAAUACUAUCAAUGGUACGCCUUAAUGCUACCCAUGCAUUCCAAAUUGGUGAAAAAUGCUAAAAAUUCUGUUAAUGUUUGGGUCGAAAAUGUUGGUGUUGCCAUCUUUAAUGUGCACCAGUAAUUUUGUCCUGACCAAAAGUUGUGCACUGCCUAGGUAAAACGUACAAUAUAUCUUGGGAGCAAUAAAAUAGAUGUGAAUUCUGUAUGAUGAAAAAUAUCACUAGCUUUGGAGGCAUUAUGGAGUUAUCUUGAAGUUGAUUUUCUUGUGAAUUACUUAAAUCUAUGAUUGAUUUUUUUUGCCCAUCAUUUGAAUUACUGAAUAGGUCUCAAGGAGGCUAUGGUUGGACCAGAGCAGUGUAAUUCCCCUUACCAAAGAGAAAGGAAGAUUACGUAUGAAUAAUUGGAGAAACAAGAAGCAACAUAUAUGGUAUCAAGGGCGCUUAUAUACUUUUUUUGUACGUAGCUACGAGAUGACACAUCCCUACCUUUUACAUGUAAAACAUAAAGUGACAGCAGUUAUAUUGAAGGAAUUGAGAGAGUGGUUGCAGAAUUUGCUAUAGUGAAUCAGAAUUCUACAUGGGCAAAAACUUAGUUGGAUUAUUUUUUUUUUUCCUCAAAUAUCAGUAGGUUGAGUGGAAUUUACAGAUAAAAUUACGUUUAUACAGUUUUUUAACUCGAUUGAUCCGCAUGAAAUUCAAAGGGCAAAUUAUACUUUACCGCCUGUAGUAUAGCUAAUUUUUACAUUAUCCUCCUAUAGUUUUAAAUAAUCCCCGCUCAUAGUUUGAAUUAAAGUGUCAAGGUAACGAAAAUAAUCAUUCGUAAUGGAACCUAUGAAAAUAUCAAAAUUAUCUUGUUUAAAAACUAAAAUGGCUGAAAUAAUCAAAAUAUAUAAACAUAAUAUGCAUGACACUCUAAUCUCGUAUGAUUUUAUAUUUUACCAUAUAACUCCCUUAUGAUUUAGUACUUUACCAUAUAGCCCCUUAUAAUUUUCAAUAUAUAUACAUAACCUCCCUGUGAUUAAUAAAUAAUUUUCAAAUUUACAUAAUGGUAUUUUUGAUAUUUUAAUUGACUCUAUUAUAGAUUGCAAAUUCCGUUACUUUAAUACAAACCAUGAAAGGGUUAUAUAUAACUUUUGAAACCAUAAGAAGGUUAUGUAAACAAACACUAAACCACAGGGGAGUAAAGUGUAAUUUGCCCAAAUCUAAAAGAAUCAACAAAGUGCUGAAAUAUGAAGCGUAAUACCAUAGUGUAAGAACUCGUACAAAAACAAGUAGGUCUUACGCAAUUCCAUUUUAAUAAAUUAGUCAUACCCGGUUUUAAUUUAUGUAAUAUCUCCCAAAAAAAAAGGUAACUAUACAUGCGAAAUAGCUUGGACAAUGAUAUAUUUCCAUUACAAGCUGGGGUAAACUUGGCAAAAAUAAUAAAUAAGUUGACCUCAAAUACAAUUUUCGAACUCAUUAAAGAUGAGACAUACUUUUUUUUUAUAUAUAAUCAUCAUAAUUCCACUGUAUCAAAUGCAGAUUAUUGGCAGAAAUAUAUCAAACAUGCAACAGACCAAAAGAUCUUAAAAAUUACCAGGUCUGAAAAAUUAAAGAUGACACAUACUUGAUCUGCAUCAACUUUGCUCAUCCUACUCUUGGAUGUUCAAAAGAGAACGAGUGAUAGGAAAAAAAAAAGUCAUUUUUCCCAUUUAAUGGCUGAAUAAAUGUAGCAAGAUCACUAAAUCAUUGCUUGGCAAAUAUGAAUCUAGACUAGAAAAGUCAGGACUAGUUUAACUCUGCUAAGGCAGACUUUCUUAUGUCUCUUUACAGGGAGAACAAAAUUACAAGCCUAAUUCAAUUGAAGUCAGAUUAUUUGAGAUUCGAACACAAUAAUAAUAACCUUGUAGUGAAGGGUGGAUCUUAUUCAGAAAAUAGAAGUGCUAGAAAAGUACAACCUCGAGAUUUGAUAUAUUUUUCUUGAAAAAAAAAAUUUUUUUAUUUUUUUUUGGUCAACCCCCACGAUGCAUGGAAAUUCACGUACCGAAGCUCAUCCAGAAUUAUUCAUAAACCAUUUCGGAUGGAAUGCUUUCAGAACCCAGGAAAUCAAAUAGAAUUCAUAGAACCGUAAAACAGGAUAUGAAACUUCCAUAAUAGGAUAGCUUGCAUAAAACCUGUUGUUAAUGGAAGUUAAACUCGAAAGAAACACACACACACACACACAGACAAAGAACUUGCAAGACUAUUCAUAUAAAGUUGGGAAACAGAGAGAGAGAGAGAUUAACCAUGUAUGUAGAAAGUGUAGUAUCCAUUCUUUUCGUUUUAAUUAUGAUCAAGUUAGAGCAGUAGUGAUAGGAGUGAUGAAUAUGUGAAAUAAAAUAUAUUUAAAAAAAAAUUUCUGGACAAAUAUUCACUUGACAAUAAACUAGAAUUUUUAUGAACAAUUUAGGAGUAUUCAAUGCAUUACAUGUUUCCAUUUAAAAAUGAUAUUAAUUAUCAAACUUUGAAAUAUUUGCAAUCUAGAAUAAUAUUAUGUGAUUCAUUUCAUUAGGGAUACACUUUUACGAAAUAGAUGAUACAAAAAUGCCAAUUAAAAUGCUCAAUUUCUCGUUUGUUUGAUGCAAGAUGUUUGUAAGCAGGAGAUUCUGGAUUCAAAACCUCCCACUUUAUUCUUAAAAAAAAAAAAUCUUCCUACCAUACUUGUAAACAGAUUUCUUUGUGUGGCUGAGCAAGUUAUUCUUUUCAAUAAUAUGACCAAAAAAAUGGAAAACCCAAAACGAGCUCGCUGAUAUUCCCAGUUCCCUGACUUUGUCAACCCGUACAACCAGGCCCACUUUGGCAAUGGGUAAUGAUGCAGGCCCAAAGAUAAUCAAGAAGCCAUUAGUCAUCCAUUUCUGGAUUUUACUUUUUAUUUAUUUAUUUAUGCAUGAAAUAUCGUUCAUGGCUUCAUGCAAAUAUCCUGGUUGUCCAGGAAAAUGUAUGUUGAAUUAAAAAAUAAAACCUACUAAAAAAUUUUUUUAAAAAAAUAAAAAUAAAAAUCAACCCAAUUAACUCUUUUUUUUUUUUUGGACGAUCAAAAAAAUUAAGGUAUCUGUGCUCAGAGUUGGAGAAACUCUAUGACAAACUUCAAAUGGGACUUACCUCUGUUGUGAGCUGCAAUUUAUUAAACUGCAGAGCUUAACAGAAAUUGAAUGACAUUAAUUAUGCGAAAAAGAAAAGAAAAGGAUGGAUUAAAACCUGAUUAAUAAGAGCAGAAUUUACAUAAGAAGGUACUGGUUGCUCCAGAAGUUGCUUCCAUCCAUGGAAGAGAAAGUCUAGCAUGAUCAAUAAGAGCCAGUCAGGAUAGCCAAAGGAUGACGCCUAGAAACAAGCUUAGGGCUCCUAAUUCAAUCAUUGGAUCCUACACUUGGAUUCAGAGGGGCACAGCUAAAACAGUGAGAUUGAGCAGUAUAUACUAACAAGAAAAAAAGGGCAUUAAACCCUUGAGUUGGCUUUAGGCAAGUCAUCCUUGGCUACCUAACAAGACUCUUGAUGACCAUACAAGACAUCUCUUCCACCCCAUUUGAGCAAUGCAUUUCUGCUUACCAAUGCUGAGGUAUUUAUAGGCAGAAAUGAGCCAACAAGAUCAUUACCAAGCGCAGCAUGGUGGUUCGUUCCCCAUUAGUCCAAUUGACACUCGUUCAGCAUUUGCAUCUCCUUCUCAUUUCUCAACAUCUGUUGACCUAAAAACGUAAUUUUCAAAACCACUUGUCACCGUGCGACAUGGUGGAAUAUAUUCCUCGUUUUAGAAUAAGGACCAACUAUGUUUCUGGGGCAUACAGGAAAGGCUUGGCAAAAUAUUGGGUCAAACCUCUUGGCCUGGGAAUCUGAAGUUCCUGUAAGAUUCUGAGGUUCAAGCUUAAACAGAAAUUUUGGCUUAGGAGGACUUUUCGUCACUAUCUCUCAAUUGUAUCUCUACAUUUCUUUUUCUUUUUUUUCUGACUCAGAUAAAAAGUGGUAUACAAACUUAUAGUUCUUAGAUGAUUUACUUUUAGAUAUCUAUUUUAGUAAUGAUUUACCAUUAGGUAUCUAUUUUAGUUUCAGAUCGUGCAAGUGACAAUUAAGCGGAGAUUAAGCUUUUUUUUUUUUUGCGGCAAAUCCUGUACACAGGGUGGGGAUGCCAACCCCUAAUUUUAUUAACCAGUAGCAUGAAUACAAAGAGUUUAAGAAAGAAGUAGUAUAAAGCCCAAGACGUAACUACCUAGCUAGAUUACUCUUUGACAACUUACAUGCGUACUGAACAAAACUCUCGUGCUAGAUGGUAUAAGCGGAGAUUGAGCUGAUACAAGCUUUUUGGAAACAUAUGGCCAUCGUGCUACAUGGUAUUUUGUGAUCAUAUACUAUACGAUUUUGAUCAAAAUUCAUCAAAAACAAAAGAAAAAAUGUCACAUUGUAUAUUGUAUAAUUGUAUACAAGUGUUGUCUAUUGGUUGGUACUGAAUCUCAAUCGGCUACUGGACUCAAAUUGAUGCAGCAACUUUAGCCCUCUACAAUUCCAUUUAUAGCCAGUCUUUGUCCCUCCACUAAAGGACUUUGUGGUUACGAGACUUAAAAUCUUAUGGAAUAUGGAUUGAAGCUGUCACGUCCAACAUGGUUAAUCCAAUUCCUUUUUGACAUGCCUUGAAAAUUUUGACCUUACUUUGAAGACAAAAGGCGAAAAGAAGAAUAAAUUAAGGGCUUAAAAAGCUGAAGAUUAGGCAACUUCAUCAUUCUAAAGAGACAAAUUGACACUAGAAUUUUUCCUCGUGAUUUUGUGAAUUCAUUAUUAUUCCCACAUUAUCUACAGACUAUGCCAUGUGUCCACUCAACCAUGUCAAUGCUGUUAAUAAUGACCCAAAGCUUUAGCUUUGUUCUGUUUGACUUUCAAGCAUUAAACAGUUGGGAUUGAACGGACGUGAUUCCAAGCUUCUUCAUCAAAAAAGUGAUAGUACAAGAAAAUGAGGUUUGAUCCCAUUUCUUAGUGCAGCUGUAAACAUUGGUUCCAUCAUUGGUUCAUCAAGGACCCAAGAACUCUUCCUGGAGUUGUGACGUGCCUAGAGUUUACUUACCCUUCAUAGAGUUUUUCAGUCCACCUGCAUUAUUGAUGCCACUUGUUGAUAAUAGGUUUGCAACCCUUCAUAAAGUUUUUGUGGGAAAGGGUUUUUUUUGCAGCGUCGAAGAGGAAUUGAUUCAAAGAGUAUGCAUAAUAUCCGGGACAAUAAUAUGUGAUUCUAAGUUUUUGUUGGAGUAUUGUUUAAAAAAAAAAUGCAGAUAGUUCCAAUUGUUUAUCUUCAAUUAAAAAUGCAAUUGUAUUAAAUAUGAAAAGCAAUCAGCUUUGUAAAGGGCUAACUUUAUCUUUUCUUAUAACGAAAAGGAUUAAUAGUGGCUCGCCACUUACUCCCUUUGUGACUCGAUCUCGUAUAUCCCGUAAAUUUCAAAUAAAGCGUCUUACCAACUAGACUGCAUUUCGUUGUAAAUGGCUAAACUUUACAGAUGUCAAAUUCAUUGCAAAAAGAAAAUUAGUACGUGAACCACAUCCAUAAGACUAGAUUUAGUCGGCAACUUUUUUUUUUUUUUUUUGACAAAAAGUUGGAGAAAAAGAAUAAACAAUAAAUGAGUAAAGCUAAAUUUGGGUAGAGUUACAAAAACCAGUAAUGAAAUUGGACCGAGAUGGAUCAAGUUUUCCGGAAGGAUUUCUAUCUAGAACAGCGCACUGUGUUUUCCGAACAAGCCACAUAGUUGGCCUACAAUUGCUUCAUGGAAAAUGAAUUUGCCCUACUAAUGUAAUCAUAUCUGGCUCUGCCUUGGCCCAUUAUCAUUUGGUGUAACAAACUUACCUCAGCCCCUCAAAUCAUAUGAACCCAAAACAUGCUCAAUCUUGGCCCACUGUAAAACAUGCUCAAUUUCGUGGUAUUGUUAGUUUGUUACUUUAGAAGUGGCUGAGGCAACUGCUGCUAGGGAAGCUAUCUUUCAUCUUCCACAAUUUAUUCUUGAAGGUGAUGCGCUGAAAAUCAUUCAUAAUCUGCGCUCUACUGAGGAUGCCUUUUCUGCAAUCGGAUCUUUGAUUGAUGAUAUUAGAAUAGCUCUAUCAGAUCACAUCUCUAUGAAUGUAAAUUGGGUUCCUAGGGAUGCAAACAAAGCAACUCAUGAAUUGGUUUUUCGUGCCAAAUCAUGUAACUAUGCUAAAUCGCUCUGGAAUUCUCCCAUAAUUUUGCUCGACGAUUUCCAGCAAUUUUAGUAAUAAAAUUUAUUUUUCUUAUCAGAGAAAAAAUGAAACCAUGUCUAUCAUUAAAUUUAUUGCGAUUGCAACGUAAUUCCAAAUGCACAUUUUUUAAAGAUUUGCAUACAUAGUUACAUAUCCAAAUGUUUAAACCUAAAAAGUUUUAUGAACCUGAGAUCCCAAUUCAUGGUUACGAACAGCUCACCAAAUCAUUCAUUAGUUUGGACUUAUCUACGUGUGGAUCAACGGGCAUGACCUGAUCCAAUCUAUCCCACAGGUUGUGGGGCAUAUUGCAGAAAAAAAUUGAAUGUGGAAUAUUUUCUUCAUCGUGUUUACAUGGCCAGCCAGCACAAAUUUUACAAGAGUGGCCAUGAUCGUUUUCGUAAAAAUAGCAAUUCACUAAAAUUUAGCAAGUGUUGCAUACAUUAAAAAAAAAAAAAAAAAGCACCUAACAUAAAUUUUUGGGAAAAAAAAAAAAAAGAAAUCGUCAGAGGCAACUGUUGUAUACAUUACAUCAAUUGGUAAUAACUAGCUUUUGCAUUUCUUGAUUUUGUUACGUAAGAUUUAACUGCUCUUACCAACCUCACCAGCCUCAACAUGAUGAAUAAGCACCAAUUUUCUCCAAAUUUAAAAACACUUAACGUAAUUGACCGUUCUAUUAAUAGAAGUUGAGCUAAAAAAUUGGUUUAAUAAACAAAUAAUAGCACACUUAAGCAAUCUAAUAAACUAAGACGCUUUGGUAUACUUGCUCUAUAUUAGUUAAAUCUAAUAAUCUAAUUGUAAUCAAUUCGUGUUGACGUUUGAUAAUAACUUCUACCAAUCUAUAUUAAGUUUUAAAAUAUUGAAGUCAAUGGGACUAGUAUACAUAUAAAUCAAAUGAACUAUGAUUAGGUCAUCAUUGAGAAUUCAAUUUGUAUAUAUUAAUUAACCAUCUUAAUCAAUUAAUUGAUAUAUGCUUUGCUUCACACCACCCAAAGUCCAAAUAAUCUAUUGCAUCAUUAUUGUUAUCGUCAUGGAUCUCUGAUUUAAUUAACUUAAGAAAUAGUCAACAAAAUGGGCCUGAUCCUCAACGCGUCAAUCAGGCAAAUUAUCAGUUAUAUGUUCUGGAUUUGCUUUUUUUUUUUUUCCUAGAGAUCUUAAAUUGUAAACAGAUCUUCUGUUUCGCUCUUUGUUUCACUUUCAGUCUCAUUUUUUAUUAUAUUGUUAUUUCUUAUUAAUAAACAUCAUAUUUUAAUUCUUUUUUGUUUCCUUAUGUUCCAAUAUCUAUUAACUGAAUAAUACACAAAUUUUAACAAGCUCAAAAAAAAAAUCAAAGUACAUAGAAAAUGAUAUUUUUUUAUCAAUUUUUUUGUCAUAUUUUGUAAUUUUUAUUAUAUAUUGCUUUUUUUUUGAAACUGUUGUAUUUAUUUUUUAUUAUAUUAGUAGUUAUUUAAUAGUAAGAAGUACAAAAAAUUAAAAUAUAGUUUAUGAAGGAAAGGUAGUUAUGUAAUAAAAAAUGAAACAGAUAGUAAAACAGGAAGUGAGGUUAUCUUGCUGUGUUCAAUGAAUCAUGAGCCUGCGGUCAGGUGUACACAGGAACAUGGGAAGUAAUUUCUUAUUGAAUUGUUAAUCUCACCAGUUGGAAAUUAGUAGAAACGUUUAGUGCUAAAAACAAAGUAGCUACCUAAUUAUAACAAGUUUACCUAGAAGCGCGUGUAAUUUAUUUAAGAAAACGAAGAUUUCCAUUUUCAUUGUCUAAUGAAACUUCACAAUCUCUCCCUCGAAUGGACUGUAAAUCCUCACAUGUGGCUAAAAAAGUUGUAGAAGCCUUGAUUUUGUAUUUAAGCUUUAGGAUGGACUUUGACCAACUAAUCUGCUUUUCUUUGUUUUUUUUGUUACUGAUUCUUGAUCGGUUGGGUACCUCAAGGCUCAAAUUAAUUUGUCAAGUUUAUUCCAGAAUUUGUUAUUUUUAUUAUUUGACAACUUGAAAACAACAGCAUUGCCUUCCUGACAAAAUUGACAAUUAAAAAAGCUUCCCUUGUUUCUAAACUAAUCUAUAGAAGUCUUUUUAUCCUCCAAGACAAAAGGUGCCAAAGGAAACAAUUACUUUAUUUACGUAUGAAAAUUUUGAUCUAUCUGAAUUAGGAUUAUUUUAUGACAUGUUAUAAAAAAGAUUCGCACGUUUUACAAUUUUACAAGAUUGAAAACUACUUUUGUCUUUUUGGAGAAAAUGUUGUAUGUCAGACAUGCCCAUGAUUGAGCUUGGACAUUUUAUUUCUUGUGAAGAGAGCUCUCAACUAGGAGUGCAAACGAACGAUCGGCUCGAGUCGAAUUUGAGGUCAAAAUAUUAAGCUCGUUAACUAGCGAACCAGAUAUAUAUAUAUUAUUUUAAUAGUAUAAUUACAUAUAUAUUUUUAAUAUUUUAUUAUUUAUUAAAAAAUAAUUAUUUAUUAUUUUUAUUAGAUUAAUUUUCAGAAACUCGAGCUAACGAGCUGCUCACGAGUCAAAAAUUCGAGUUACAUUAUGAGCUGACAAUUCGAGUUGCUCGCGAGACUUGUCGACUUGAGCUCGAGCCUACCUAUUAUUGAGUUGAGCUCAGCUCGAUAAAUCUAAAACUCGACUCAACUCGAUUCAUUUGCAGCCCUACUCUCAACGCUACAUAAUCGGACCAUGUUUUUUAAUAGAUAAUUUUUUUUUUACAAUUUUACCUAUAAUAAUCAUCUAAAAAUAUCUCAAAGUUUUGAAUAUACACACUCUAAUAUACCCAAAAAACGCACAAAUUUUUUCUUUAUUUCCUUUUCUUCUUCUUUUUCUUCCUCCUCUUUCAUCUCAACCCACCACUAGCAUCGACACCUCCUCUCUCCUUUCUCUUUUUUGACUCCUCUCCUCCUCCUCUCCCCACCCCUCCCGUUGUAUGGCUAGAGAAGGAAGGGGUGGGAGAAAGAGAGUGUGAGAAGAAAAUAGAGAAGAAGAUAGGAGAGAGAGAGAGAAGAAAAAAGAAAAGAAGGUGGUCGCGCUAGCCGGCGGUAAAAAGGGAGGAAGAAGACCAAUGGCACUAUGAGAAGGAAGGAAAAGAAAGAGAAAAAAAAAAAGAGACAAAGAAAUUUUUUCUUCAAACUUUAAAAUACAUGUUUUUCUAUAAUUUCUAUAUAGUAAAUUGCAAUAAAAUUUUAUCUAAAUACCCAAGAAAAAAACCUCACCAGUCAAACCAACCUUUUACUAUUUGACUUUUGACCAAAAAAAAAAAAAAAAAACCUACCUUUUAGGCUUUUACUAUUUGAGGUUCACCGGUGCCUCCAGCCUUUGGAGCCCGACUUUCAUCAAGUCAACCUACGAUCGAGUUGACCUGCGUCGAGAUAGCUACGUGCCAGUUAAAAAAGUUACCAACAGUACCAGUAAUCUUAACUGCCUCAUCAAACCCUCUUUUUUCUCACUUUCAGCAAAAGUGGCUGGCAGCCAAAUCCCUCCUUUCCUUUCUCUUCCUUCUGUAUUUUAAUAUUAAUUAACCCUUUUUUUUUCACUGCCGCCGCUCAAAAGAAUCAGCCCGUGAAACCAGUAAACUUUUAACCUUUAAGGGGCACUACGAGAAAAGAAAAAUGCCGACAAACGUACGCUAAAAUAACUAUUUAACUGACUGGAAUAAUACCAGUACGUACUACUUUGAUAAGGUCUAUAAGAAAUUCAUAAUUACAACUGUAAAGUGUAAGAAUCCCACAACAAACAGAUUCCUUCGCGUAAGGGGAAUUUAUAUCACCCGCAUGCCAAUGCCCAGUUUUAGUAGUUAUUAUAUUUUAAUGCACGACCCAAUCCUGUUAUCAAUAUGUAGUAAUAUUUAUUUAAUCGUUGAAGUAGUUUCUCUUUUAUUUUCAGUUUGGAUUUGCUUAAGGUUUAGGUUAUAGGCUAGCUUGCCUUGUACUUAUUCGUAUUCUUAGAUCAAGUAUCUCAGUCCAACUACCCAGUGACCUUAUUAAUUAUUAUCAAAUUAUUGAUUCUUUAUCGGUGAGUUAGCCACCACUAUGAUAUUUUUAUGUUUCUUGAUGCUUUUGUAAGUUUUUAUUUUGCACCCCCAUUGUUAACAUUAACCCAUGAUUGUUACGAGGGAAAAAAAAGACAAUCAGUGCUUAAGCUACAUGUAUGUACGUGUAACGUAAUUUGAAGUUUAUCUGAGGUUGAGGCUGUAAGCAAAUUAAGUUACUUUCAAGUUAUACUCUUGUAAUUCUAUCAAAAACUCGACAAUAUUCAGCCUUUGAUGAAAAUUGAGUUGAGCUUGAGAGGCAUUGGAGGUGAGACUCAUAUUUUAAAAACUUUAAAGAUUAGUUUAACUCACCGAAAAGUCGAUUAUCAUAAUUCAUAUGAAAAAUCUAUGAUUUCCUUAAAGAAAAAAAAAUCUCAAUAUCAUUAUUUUGUAUUUUUUGAGCUUAAUUAAACCUAAAUUAAGUUUGAUAGAGCUCAACCACAAGUUAAAUUGAAUUUCAGUGAUGAUAGAAUAUAUGCUCGUCAAGCUCGAGUUUGUUAGUAACUCAAUAAAUUCGACUGAUUUUGAAACACAAGCAAUCCAAUUAUUAUUGAAGUUCAAUUUGGGUAGAGCAUCAAUUCAAAAUCAAUUCAGCUUGUUAAUAUGCCAUUUUAUUGGUGCAAACGGAAAAAAAUGAGUAGAAAUCAACAAAUUGGAGUAAUUCUCUAAAUUGUAUAGUCCAUGCAAUUUGGACGAUAAAUUUGACAAAAUCCGGAAACAAGAAGAGGUCAAUUUCAUUGGGAAAAAUCAAAAAAGAAAAGGUCAAAUUCAACCAACUCGGUUACCCACAACUGACAACUCAUGCAAUGGCUGUUACGUUAAAUGUGUAACCGUCAGUAAGGCUAAAGGGCUGACGAGGAUGAACCAUGAAGAGAAGGCAGAAGGAACCUGGAAACUUUACAUAGUCUAUCUGUCUUGUGUCCUUGAGAAAAGCAUCGCUAUCAUUAUAGUAUAAUUUAUUGCAACAGAGUAAGGAUCCCAAACCCCACUUCUUAACUACACCCUCAAAGACUCUGACCUCCUUUGGGCUCGUCUCCCAAUUCUGGCACCCAUUUCCUUCUUACUUCCUAGUUUGAGCGCGUGCCUCCAUGCCUUCAUAUUUUCUCUAGUUUUGUUUUUUACUUGUCACGAUGGAGUUUAAUUAUAUGUAAACACUCAUCCUAACCGUCUUAUUUGGAUUGCUUUUUUUUUUAUUACUUUAUGAAUACAUUUUGUAGUCACUUUUUUUUUUUAACUUAUAUCACAUUUUAAAAAGUAUUGCAUUCAUAGUUUCUCUAAAAAUUCUUCAAAAAUGUAAUCCAAACAAUCUAUUCUUUUCUCUAAUAUUGAAGUGUGUUUCAUUGCUUUAGUGUGAAUUUUAUGGUCAUUUAUUCUUUUUAUUGAAAUUUGACCUUAUUACUACUUAGGAUUUUGCUUGAGAGGUCCUUUCAUAUUUAGUUUUCACAUUAGAGUAUUUCAACUGAUAAAAUAAAAAAGUCCAACAUGAUGAUUUGGAAAUUUCAAUAUUAUAAAAGUCAAAUGAUACGUUAAAUGUGUGCUCAAAUACUAAGGAUGUAUUUGAUUAAACUGAAGUUUGAAAACUGAAAUUUGAAAUUUGAAAUCUGAAGUACGAGUUAAUUAAGUUAUUGAAUUGUUAAAUAUUAAAACUAAUACAUUUGAGUGCAUAUCACAUUUAGUGAUAAGUGAAUAAUUUAUCACUUAAUUUUGAGAGCAAAUUUUGCCUAGAAAAUUCAGUGUCACUUAAUUAAUUCAGAUGUUUAAAUUUUUGUUGUCAAACGGUCUAAAUAUAUUAAGAUCUGAAUCCAUUAAAUUUAAGUACUGAAUUGAGUUAUCAAUCAGAGGCUAAAUUAGACAACUCACUUUUUAUGGAGUUGAAGUGUUAUUUUCUUGCCAUAAUACUUAUCUCAUUUUGUUUUUGCUCAACUUUUUACGUUGAAAAAUAUGCCAUCUAGUUACAAAAAGCUUGCACUUAUUUCAACAAUUUCCAAUUAUCUCCAAUAACAAAAUUUUCAUCUUGUAAGCAGCUGGAAAGUUUCCUUAACAUAUGGAAUCUCUUGAUUUAUCUUCAAUAGAAAGAUAAAUGAAAAUAAAUGAAUUUAAAAUCCAUCUUUUCUUUUAAAUCUCCAUAUCUAGUAGAACUAAAAUUUUUGAAACUAUUUGACUUAUAUCAUUUUUUAAUGUUGUCAUUACAUUCUUUACAAAAAAAAAAAGUGUUGCAAGAUAAGAAUAUUAUCCACACAAUUACGUUUGAAUAGCAUUAAAUCUUCCAAAUGAAGAUUUCCUAGAUGAAAAUAUUAUCCACACAAUUAUGUUUGAAUAACAUUAGAUUUUCUAAAUAAAUAUUUCCUGCAUAAUUCACCCAUGUGAUGCACAAGAUUUGAAUUUGAAAAUUGUUGUUGCUAUCCUUAUUUGGCUAAUACAAUGUAGUUUAAAAAAAAAUUCUCAAUUAUCCCGAAUCCAAUUUCACCAUCGAUUUCACGCACUCUAGCUGCGUCUGCCCUUGACAGUAGACACCUCCGCCUUCCAUUAUUUCUCCUAUUUCGUAUAUUCAUAUGCUCGUCGUUUUCCUCUAACCAUUUCCUCCUGCCACCCCUCACACAUACACAUCCCUUCCCGCCUCCAUUCUCUUCUCAACCCUAAUAUCCCCUCCAAAAACCUCCAGACAUCAGCCAUGAAAGUACCUGAAAAUGAAGUAAAAGCUCUAACAAAUUCCAUAACUCAGCUCCUCAGUUCUCUCUCCAGCUCAGUCCCACAAGCCCAGUGCUUCAAAAGUAAAUGGUCUAUCAUUUCUUCGAAACUCUCCACUCUGGAAUCCCUUGUUUCCGACCUUUGUAACUCAUGCUCGGCUACCACAACCAGCGCCACCGGUUCUCUAGCCGUAGACCUUCUUCAGAGUCUUGUCACUACACUCACCGACGCGCUCUCGUUGUGCAUGCUCUGCCACGCGCCGACCCCGCCUCACGGGAAGCUCAAGACUCAAAACGACGUCGACUCGAUCACGGCUAAGCUCGACAACCACACCAGAGACCUCGACGUUCUCAUCAAAAGCGGCGUUCUCCUCCACCCCCAGAACGCCGUCGUUGCAGCAGCGCCAGCAGCAACGACACCGACUAGAGAAUCCGUCCGGGCCGAGUUCCGCAACCUCAUAACUCGUCUUCAGAUUGGCUCCACCGAGUCGAAGAAUUCGGUUCUUGACUCGGUGCUGAAUCUUCUACAAGAGGAUGACAAGAACGUUCUCAUCGCGGUGGCGCAGGGGAUUGUUCCGGUGCUCGUCAGAACACUGGAUUCCAACACCCAUCAUCUGGAAAUGAAGGAGAAAAUCGUGGCGGCGAUCGCUAAAAUCUCAACCGUUGAUUCCAUUAAGCAUGUUCUGAUCGCGGAAGGUCUCGGCUUGCUGAAUAAUCUCCUCCGGGUUCUGGAAUCUGGCAGCGUUUUCGCCAAGGAAAAGUCCUGUAUAGUCCUCCAAGUACUGAGCAAUUCCAAGGAAAAUACGAGGGCAAUUGGGUCAAGAGGAGGGGUUUCGUCAUUAUUAGAGAUUUGUAACGAUGGUACCCCAAAUUCACAAGCUAUGGCUGCUGGAGUUUUACGUAUUUUAUCCGUUUAUCCGGAAAUUAAGGAGAAUUUUAUCGAGGAAAACGCUGUAAUGAUCUUACUGGGGCUGUCGAAUUCAGGCACUAUAUUGGCACAGGAAAAUGCUAUAGGUUGUUUGAAUAAUUUGGUUGUUAAGGAUGAUAAUCUUAAAUUGUUGAUUGCUCGAGAAGGCGUGAUCGAGAGCAUGAAAAACUAUUGGGAUUCUAUUAAUUCAGUUCAGAAUCUCGAGGUUGCAAUUGUUAUGAUUCAGAUUUUAGCUUCUUGUCCGUUGAUAGUGGAAAAUCUUGUGGCUGAUGGGUUCCUGAAUCGAGUUGCUGGGGUCUUGAGCUGCGGAGUAUUGGGGUGUCGUAUUGCUGCAGCUAAAGCUGUUUACGAAUUGAGUUACAACACGAAAACCCGGAAAGAACUGGGCGAAAUUGGAUGCAUUUCUGCGUUGGUGAGGAUGAUGGAUGGAAAAGCAGUUGAGGAAAAGGAAGUAGCCGCAAAGGCAUUGUCGAGUUUGAUGGCAUUCCCGGGGAACAGGAGGAUUUUCAAGAAGGAAGAAAAGGGGAUUGUUAGCGCAGUUCAACUUUUGGAUCCCUUGGUCCAGAAUUUGGAUAAGAAGUACCCUGUUUUGAUACUCAUCUCCCUGGUUCAUUCCAAGAAAUGCCGUAAACAAAUGGUUGGUUCUGGGGCUUGUUCGCAUUUGCAGAAACUGGUGGAGAUGGAGAAUGUCGAUGGCGCUAAGAAGCUGUUGGAAAGCUUAGGUCGUGGGAAGCUAUGGGGAGUCUUUGGCAUUCAUUGAUUGAUGAUUCAGAAGUGAAAAAACUGAUUCUGGUGGAUGCUGCUUAAUCUGUAUGUAGUGCUAUACUUUGUCAUUGUUCUUGUUUCUUGUAAUUUCAUCUUUUUGUUUUUGUUUUUCAGUUUUUGUUUAUAAAAUUUGUGUUUAGGAUUUGAAGUAGAGGAAGUAAAUGUGGUUAGUCCUAGUGAUGAAGAUUUGGGUACAGGGAUGAGUAAAGAGUAAAAUCUUUGGUUGGGUGACCUAACUUGAAUUAGGAGUUCAUAGAUUUGUGUUUUUCUACCAAAACCCAAUAAGUUUAUACUAGCAGUAGUACUAUUGAAUAAAGAUGGUUAUGCCUACUCAAUGAAAUAUGUCUAUGGUUUCAAUUUGGGGUUCAUCUGUUCCCCAAUCUUUCUGCUUCAGUGUUUGAAGUUAAAAAAGUUGUUGUUUUUCAAGUCAGAGAUCAGAGUACUUCUAUUGUUAGUUAUAGUUUGUUUCAUGUUACUUGUGGAUGGAUGAGUUGUUUGCUAAACUAAGUAAAGAUGCAUUCUAAAGCUACUUUUUUUUAAAAAAAUGUAAAAGUACUAUUUGCUUUAUUAAAAUUAACUUUGAGGAGCUUUAUUUAAUACUACAAGUAACUUUAAAGGGUCAAAGAACCUUUCUUUUUUUUUUUUUUUUGGUGGUUGAUCAAUGAAAUGGAGAUUGAUAUGAAACUAAAACAAAUACCAAGAUUUAUCCUUGUUUGAGACAUAAAUUUUCAUAUUAACAUUUUUGUGCAUCAUGCGGGUUUGCAGCUCUUUAUGCAAGGUCCAUAAUGACUUAAAUCACUUCAUAUGCUACAUUAACAAUAGCCACCCUGCAUCAAAAUAGUACAUGUUAUCUAUACUGUUAUCAAUCAGGCUACCCCAAUUGACGACCAUUUCUCUUUUUUUUUUGGGGAGAAAAUUAUUCUUGAGUGGAAAUUUGUAUGUGUGAAUGCUAGAUGUGACCCUUUACAAUAAUUCUCCGUUUAAGUUUGACAAUUGAUGAUCAACACGGAAACACAAAUUUGUAUCCCCCAAUACCCCCCCCCCCCCCCCCAACACCCCAACAAACACACACAGAGAAGUACUUGCUAUGAUGCUACUCCAAGGUCUUAUUGCUUGUGUGAUACAAUGUCGGCCCUUUUUGGGAAUCAACACAUCUAAUAAAUUGACAGAUUCAAUUGUUCUGUCUUUGAUAGUACUCCUCCGUUCCACUCCACUUUGAUAGUCCUGUUUUCCUUUUUCGUUUAUCCCAAAUUGUAGUUCACUUUUCAAUUGAAAAAUAUAGUUAUCUUUUAAUUUAUCUAAAAUACCCUUAUUCAAUGUAGGUUGUUAUUAGUAUAAACUACCUUAUGUAAUGUAGAUUGUUAACCUACUCCAUUUAAUACAUUUAGAUUUUUCAAAACAUAUUGAUAUAUGAAAAACCAGCUUUGUUAUUAUUUCAAGCCAAAAUGUGAAAUAACCUAAAAUGAGGAUUGAUUCUUUCUUGAUAAUCAAUUCAAGUUCUCAUAAACCAUCAAUUCAAGUUUUCAUGAAUAAUUAAUACUCCCUCUGUCCCAUUUUGAUAGUCCUAGUUUUUUUUUUUCACACCGUUUAAGAAAAAGUAGUUAACUUUGUUGAAAAACAAAUUUAGAUUGCUAUUUUCUUAAAAUACCCUUACAUUAAAUAAAGUUGGCUUUUCAUAUAUCAAUAUGUUUUGAAAAAUCUAAAUGCAUUAAAUGUGGUAAGUUAUAUUCAAUACUAACAAUCUAUAUUAAAUAAGGUAGUUUAUAGUAAUAACAACUUACAUUAAAUAAGGAUAUUUUAGAGAAAUUAAAAGACAACUAUGUACAUUCUUCAAUUGGAAAGUGGACUACAAUUUAGGACAGACGAAAAAGAAAAACAGUACUAUCAAAGUGGGAGGAAGGGAGCAUAAAGUUAUACUCUAUUUAAUGUAAGGGUAUUUUAGAAAAGUAGCAAUAUAAAUUUAUUAUUCCAACAAAAUUAACUAUUUUUUUUUAAAUUGUAUGAAAAAAAAAACUAGAACUGUCAAAAUGAGACAUAGGGAGUACUACUUUAAUGUUAAGUUCCACUUGAGUUGAGAACGGAUGAUAAAAAUUAAAACAAAAAAGGCCAUCAGUCUAGUUCGACUCUUCUAUCAGAAUUCAGAAGCCAAGCCUUCAACUUCCGACUCCGACCAAUCUAGUCUGUCCGGUCUGAAUUGGCAUAACAACAUUUGUAUAAUAGAAAGAAAUUCUUGGGAGGCAGAUGUAACGGGCUGGUAGGUCUUCUCCCAUGUGCAUUUGUUCUGUUCGUUUGUCAACACCCUCACAGCUGCGCCAUCCCCUGCUGGUUGUUACCUAAACAAUCAUACAACUUCGAGAUUGUGUUGUAAAUCGUCCUACUGAUCUUAUUUUAGACAAGCUUAAAUCUUUACUUCCUACUCUGCGUUGAGCUCUCAUGAAGGGAAGAAAAAGUAUUAAUAAAAAUACUUAAAAAUUCCAUUCCACAAUUCUUGUUUCAGUGGAUAAUGGAUGUAACUGAUGAACUCAGUAGCAGCUUUUUGAGAAUCCAUAACCAAUCUUUAUCGCAAAAGUAUCCUCAUUUCAAUAUUUUAGGCUUCACACGACUGUGGUCAUCAUUAUGGCACGGAAGAUAAAGUGUUGGGGCCUCGCUUAUGUCCCUAAACAAAACACUUUGAUUUCUGGAUUAGACUUGUAAUUCUGAUGAGCACUGUGAGGUUAAUGGCAUUCCUACACGAAAGGGUGUGUUUAGAUAGGAAUUAUUUGUCAAAAAAUUACUUGCUUGCAUCACGAAUAUAUUUUUCAACACAUUAUAUUUUUAUCUUUUCAGUUUUUUUUUUAUCUCACAUACAUCAAAUCCCAAAAAGUUAUAUAAUAAUUAUUUCAAAUAAUCUCCUAUCCAAACACACACAUUUGUUCCCUCCGAAGUUUCUAAGGCACUGUUUGGAUGAAGGAAAGGGAAGGAAAGGAAAAAAAAAAUGAGAGGACUCUAGUCAAAAAGAAAAGAAUGGAGAAUAGAGGAAAUUUGAAUCCAUCUAUAUUGUUUGAAUUACAAAAGGAAAGGAAUUACGUUUUUAUCCAUAAUUUAAAAUUUUAAUAUAUAAACACAUAAUAACUUUUUAAGGAAAAUUUAAGAUUUUCAUUAAUUUUAGUGUCCUUUCCCUUUGUUUCCGGCCAUUUUUGGACGGAAAAAAUUGGUGACAAAGAGAUUAAAAAAUGGUGGCAAAGAGACUAAAAAUGGUUUCUGUGCAUUUAGUGUCCUUUCCCUCUAUUUCCGCCAUUAAUUUUAGUGUCCUUUCCUCUGUUAACUAACCUUAUCCUUCUCUUUCCCUCCCAAUCCUUUUCUUUCCCUCCUCGAAAACCAAUCCAAACAUUAAAAAAUUUAUCCCUCCAUUUCCUUUUCUUUCCUUCCCCUCCCAUUCCCUCAAAACAAACAGUAGUGUUUAAGAUAAAAAAUUACUGUUUGCAUAGGGAAAAACAAAAAAUUUAAGAGGUCGUUCUAAACAUACUAGUUUUCUAAACAGUUGCACGGCCGUGGUCUUCCCCAUUUAUGAGUUUUGACCUGUAAUCCAGAAUGAGCAAAUUUGGGAUCUCUUAUUGUGAGGAGUUGACCAUGGAUCUCUUAUUGUGAGGAGUUGACCAUGACUUUGAUUGUCCUACCACCACAUUCAUUAAUUACAAGAAGAAGGAACUAAACAGUUGAGAUUCUUCUUUCUUGAACUUCAACCGAGCAUGGCAUCUUUUAGCCUAUGUUCCAUUUAUGCUAUGUUUGAAUUGAUGUUUAUAGGGCCAUUCUGCAUCUCUUUUUUCUUGAAGCGUAGCAGUCUCUGAGUCUGCAACUUUUAUCUUAUUGUUGUGGGCUUUUUAGAUCAUUCUUGCCUCUUGCUUCUAAAAUGCCAAACAAAACAAUUAUGAACUACCUACCAUUGAGGCCAUUAAAGCUGAUCUUUUACUCUCAUAUCAUUAAAACUAGUGCUCAAUCGAUUUCCGAUUCUAUUCCAUUUUGUCAAGUAUCUACUGUAAUUGAUUAAAUUAGAACAAGUAUACAAAAUAUUCAGACUCGGUGUUCAAAAAAAAAAAAAAAAAAAAUUACAUACAACUUCGACUAUAUACAAGCCCAAUUCGUAGAUGAUUAGGAUUAGUAUUCGUUUGUUGUGUUUGUACAUAUUUUUUAUGUGUGACCACAAUAUAAUAUAUGCGGAAGUUUUUAGCCAUGCAUACUAAUUUUCCUAUGAAAACAACCAUAUCGUGUAAUUAUACAUUAAAUACUGUAAUAAAUACAAUACGUGUAUAAAAUUGCACGAAAUCACAACCAAAAUUCUGUAUGCAAAAAUAAAUUACUCUAAUAUAUUCAGAUAUUAGAGAAUUCUGUUGUGAGAACUAUUUAAAUAAGAUAAAGCCCUUUAAAAUUAAUUUUAAUUGCUUGAGGGGGAAAGGGAGGGGGGUUGAUUGCAUCCUACAUAACAACUACUUCGAAUCGGCCUUACUCAAUUAGUGUUUCCAAUUGGGCAAAUUUUACCAGGCUGACUGAAUUGAGUAUCUUCGUCCAUAGUUUUGGGAGGCCACAGGCCCAACAUUAAAGCCUAACCCUAUUUUGUUUAAUAAGAAAAUGUCAACAUUUUUCGAGUUUCAACUUAAUUGAUAAGAACAUUCAUUAAUCAAGCGAAUAUCAACUGUUCGAAAAAUUCUAUUUUUCAAGUGAAUUCUUGCAUCUUCAAGUGCUCAAAAUCAAAAGGUAGUUUAAUAAUGAUACAUUACAUGAAAAUCCUUGCUUACAUGUGUUUCUAUUUGUCAAUGAACAUAAGAAAACUAGUAUCUUUAGCUUGUUCAAAACACAAGAAAUUUUAUUUUUCAAGAGGGUUCAUGCAUCUGCCACCACCUCUAGAGAAUGGAAUUAUCAAUUAGGUGCUUAUAAUAAUAAAAAAAAAGUAGUUUAAUCAUGAUAUAUAUAUAUAUAUAUAUAUAUAUAUAUAUAUAUAUAUAUAUAUAUAUAUAUAUAUAUCAUCAAAAUUCUUGCUUCUAUGUGUGGCUCUUUGUCAAUGCAUGCAACGGUUUUCAACACACAAUUACAUACAUUUUGGUUGCCGUGCACGUUUCAUUUCAUGUCUACAUGAAAAAAUAGGCAAACAAAUGAUAUUUAUUGCUUUCGUAAAACUAUAUUACUCCACUAAAAAUUAGCCAAGGAUUAUCUCUUAAAAAUUAUUAAAUGUUCUAAAAAAUUUUGGAAGAAAUAUUAACAGCUAGGAAUGGUAUACGUGUAUGUGCAAAUUGGUCCAAAAAUCACCAAGACUAAACGAAUACAAGUCCUUGUCAAGCAUCUAUGUUAUAUAUAGCCUCCACCGUUUGCCAAAUGCAGGUAAUUACCUACCUAUGUUAGGUGUAUUUUUAAGCCUCCUUUGGUUGUUCUUUCAUUGCCUUUGCUGUUGGAUUUCCGUCUUCUAUCCCCUUUCGGUCCAAAGGAGAAUUCUUAUACAUAAUUAACUGUUGGCUUUAUCACAUGUCAUAGUAGGUAUAUGGCAUGUCGUGUAGGUCAUUCUACUCCUCUAUUCCCUUUCACUGAAGUGAUUAACGUUCCACACUCUAUAAAAUACUUCAAAUCGCAAUAAGAAUUUGAUGGAGACAAAGCGUUCUAACCCGACCAAUUGACAUCGCAAUAAAUUCAUCCUCCAUUUUUUUGGGGGUUUUUUAACGUGUGGGAAUACUUGGUUAAUGCAUUUUCAAGAAUGAAUGGCUUCUCUAACUUGGAAUUAAUGCUUUUUUUUUUUUUUUGAAAUUGUGGCAUCAAACUAGCUUCACUUUGAACAUUUUUUUGGCCUCGGAUAGAUUGUAGUAACAGCAAUCAAAGUUGAUGCGUAAAUCUUUUGAAUUUUUCUACGCUUAAAAUAGGGAAACAAACUGAGGAAAUGAAAACUAGCUGUUUAGAGAUUGUUUGUCAAUUUCAGUAACAAUUUCGAGGGUUAGUUACUAAGCAACAAAAUCCUGUUUGAGAUUACAUAUUGCCUUUGAUAAUAUAGGCAAUGUAGGAGGCAAAUUGUACAACCCAAACUCUAAAAAGUAGUUUUAACAUAUCAAAAGCAGUAGUGUUACCCAAUUCAUAUUGGACAAAGAGGCACGGAAUUUCUUUUUGUCCCAUAAAAGUCACCAAAUACCUAAUUUUCUGCCAUAUUAAUUUCUUCCAUGCUACGUACAAGUAGUUCAGUCUUGGACAUUUCUUGAUUUUUUUGCAGAGAUGAUGGUGAGGAGGAGAUAGAGAAUGACAGCAGCGUAGGAGCAAAUCACAGAAUAAGCCGCUCUGUUGCAGUAAUUUUUGAAAUGGUCACAAACUGCAGUCCAACCGAUGUGAUUAUUCCCAUAUUUCCCUACCCAUCCAAUAGCAGUUGCUGCUGCACAUCCGGCCAUCAAUAAUGUGCUCAUAAUCUGUCCAAAUCCACCACAUUUGCUAACUUUUUUUUGAAGUGUUUUAAGUAAUUAAUCUUGCAAAAACUAUCAGAAGAAUUAAAGAAAUACUAACAAUUGUUUCAAUUGCCAAGAAUCCAACCAUCAAGACAUCUUUAACAUUAGAAAGGCCAUUUGUUUCGAUUUUGUAGUAUGGCACCAAAAGAAUAAACAUGAUUUUUCUAUCUUGUUGUAAGGGAGGGUCAGGAUAAGCAAACAAUAUAUAGAUAAAGAAGGUGUACUCGCUUGAGAAAACUCAAACAUUUUCAUUCAACCCUAAAUUGAAUUAACUUUAGCCUACCAAACUCAAACUUUCGCACCAAAUCCAACUCUUGAAUAGAAGAGUCCAAAAUCAACACCUAAACAAUAUUAGAGGAUGGAAACUUGAAUUUGAUUUGAGCCAUGGCUUUUCCUUGCUACGUAUAAAUAUAGCAAUGCAUAUACUUCACUAGUUUGGGUGGCCAAAUUCCAUGGCUAAAAGCAUAUCACGUAGUAACAUAACACACCAAACUUAUCUGUGCAUAUAAUCCUAAACCAUGAGUGUUCCUCAUAGCAUUAUUGAUGUACCUUCACAUUUUACCAACAAGAGGUCAAAGAUACAGAAAAUACAACCGAGUAUUAUCAAGAUUCGUCGCUAAAAAGCCUAAAAAUUGGUCACUGAAGAACUAAACAUAACUUACCAAAUCAUGCAGAAACAUGACGAAGUAUGUCCUUGGCUUCAAGAGUAGCACAGAAAACAAGGAUAAAACCGAGAAUCCACACGCAGCAAUGUUUGCAUAUGCAAAAAACCUGCACAUAUUUUGCUACUUAAUAUUUCAAUAUAAAGGACUACAGAUGAUUAUUUGCUUCAAAUUUUAAUGGGUCUUAGCUACUGUUUUUGCUUGUGUGUGUGUAGUGUGUGAAUCUUACUUACUUGAAAGCUUGAGAAUAGGUGUAACGAGCAACAAAUUGCAUUCCAAGAACCACAACGGUUUCCUUACUGGUGAGGAUCAGCCAUGAUGCAGCAAGGGUGGCUCCGGUGGUUAAAAGUCUCAAGAAAAUUUGGGCCCCAAAGAAACGAUUACUAGUUAUGUGAGGUGGGCUGUAAUUUGCCAUUGAAGAACUUUUGGGAACUUCCUCCUGAAGUUGAAGAAACUAACUUGUGAAUUUUGAAGCUCUAGAUACGGGAGAAGUGAGUAAGGAAGUUACAGUCAAGUGGAACUCAUAAGCGAGAAAGAGGGGAAGUGGAUUACCACAAAUCAGGUUUGGGCUGAUUAUAUUUCGGGGUACUAGUUAUUUGGUCGAUUAAGGUUGGAUGGUUGAAAUGUUUAUUUUUUUUUGGUUUUUUUUUUUCAGCAGAGGAGGGGUAAAUAUUUAACUAGCCUUUGGUUAAUUAGAUUGAGGAUUGGAAUCUGAGAUGUGCACACUAAGUGUUUAAGUUCUUUUUUUUUUUUUUUUUUGCUUUAAUAUUUAAGUACAUGUUGAAUACUGAAAAAAAAAAAAAUAGUACAUGUUGAAUUCUUAUUCUUUGGUAAUAUUCUUUUUGUGAAUACUGAAAUUUAAGUGCUGAAUUCUUAUUUGUUCUUUUUAUAAGAUUACAACUAACCACACCAUGGGAUAAAGACCUCCAAGCACUCUGAGUUUCAACCUUAAGGUCUCCUUGGCUUUGAAUACUUUAUUUGUUGAACUCAAGAAGUCAUAUUUUGGUCGAUAAGUUAAAUUUUGAGUGCUGGAUUAAAAGAUUUUAUUUUACAUUUAUUAUUUAGUUUAAUACUGAUAAUUUUUUUUUUACUUUUAUAUUAGACUAGUUUUUUAAAUAGGAAAAAUGACACAAAAUUUACCUCGCCUUUUCCAAUUAAAAUUUUGCGUUCCUUAAAUUUGAUUACAAGAAACAGAACAUUUUAUUCUUGAAUUCCUACAGCAUAUAUAUAUAUAUAUAUGACGUUUACUUUCUUUUCUUUUCAGUUAAAACAAAACUAUCUACUUAUUUUUUCAAAUUAAUUAUAAAAUUCUUCCACUCUUGUAUAUAUAUUCUUUGCUUUUUUUUUCUUUUCUGUUAAAACUUUCUCCAGAAGGUAAAAGGACAAUAAAUACGCUGUCAGCAAUUCUCUGCACCACAAGACUUCACAUUUUUGUUCCCAUAAGUAGAAGAGAGACAAAAGAUACAGAAGCAUUUUGCUGGCAAACAAACUGAAAUUACACAACUCCUACAGCAUUGAUCCUGGACAUCAGCAACAUAAAUCACACGAAACAUAUCAUCUUCUUCAACUAUUACAAGUACUAAGAACUUCAAACUUGAAUCCACCUAGAAUUCACAGCUGAUAUGAUUGUGAGGAGGAGAUACACCAUGACACCAAAGUAGGAGAGUGCCACAGAAAUAGCAACUUUUCUACAGAAUUUGCCAAAGUUGUCACAGAUUGGCAUCCAACCAGUAUGGCUGUUCCCAUGUUGUCCAACGUAUCCAAUUGCAGUUGCUGCUGCACAUCCGGCCAUCAGUAGGGUAACCACCAUCUGUCAAAAAAAAAUCAUCAAAAUUCGAAAACCGACUCAGAAGUUCAACAUGUUCAAUUUCUUUCUUUCUUUUUUCUUGGAAUUAAAACACUGUAGUACUGUAACAUGAAUGAUCACCAAAAUUUUCUAUCAUGACAUACCAAAUCAUGGAGGAAAAAGUAGAAAAACUUCAUUCCAACCAGAGAUUUGUAACUAAUGACGAGGAGAAGAAGCAAGGAUAAAGCCGAGACUGCACACACGAUGACAUUGGCAUACGCGAAGAAUCUGCACAUUCGCGAAAUAAUAAUUUCAGGCAUAUAUACAAAUUCAUCUAUGAAAUCAAAAUACAGCAAUGCAUAUAGAAAAUAUGGUUAGAGAUGGUACUAGUGUUUCUUACUUGAAUGCCGGAGAGUAGCUAUAACGUGCAUCAACAACCAUCCCAAAAACCGCAACAGUUUGCUUGCUAGUGAGGAUAAUCCAUGCUGCAGCAAGGGUGGCUACCGUGGCCAAAAGCCUCAAGCAAAUUUGGGCCAUAAAGGAAAGUUUAUGGGUUUUAAGAGUUGAGUUAUGGAUGUGCUUGGCUUCAACGUUUUCCAUUUCAGAGUUUUCUUGAACUUAAGCAAGAUGAACCAACAAUUACUAAUAUGUUCUUUACCAUCAGUUGCAGGAUACAAUUAAUCUAUAACUGUAGAUCUAGGAUAUGAAUUUGGGAUGCCGAAUUUUGGGGGGUAUUUAUAGGCGAACAAAGGUGUGGGAUGUGGGGAACUGGAUCAGUCUACCAAAACAUGGGCACGAAUUUAGUGCUACUAGUUCUUACGUGAAAAAUGGCGUGUCAUUAUGAUUUGAAGAAGAACUAAAAAAGUUUUGUUGGAGCUAUUUCUAGAGGUGUUUGUCUGUCCCUAUAUAUACUAGGUGUAAAUUAAAAGAACAAAAUAAUGAGCAGUUAUUAAAAAAGUUUUAUUAGGUAGUGUAAUGUGAUUUUUUUUUAUUGUUAAACAAAAAAAGAAAAAGGGAGUUAUUGGCAGUUAUUGGAAUCUACUAAUUAGCUUUUUAGUGUGAGGGUACAUAGAGCACAAAUUAAAAGAAAAAAAUAAUGAGCAGUUAAAAGGUUUUAUCAGGUUGUGUAAUGUGAUUUUUUUUUAUUGUUAAACAAAAAAAAAAAAGAAAGAGAAGUUAUUGGCAGUUAUUAGAAUCUACUUUUUAGCUUUUCAGUGGAAGGAUAAAUAAAUUAAAAAAAAGUAACAAAAAAAAUUUUACACCGUACCCCUUUCUUCUCCCUUUAUAUACAGUAAGAUAUAAGAUAAUAUAUUCAUGGGCUUCAUUUAAAAGCGCUGAGCAUGACCAAAUCAAUGCUAGACUUUUUUCUUUGUCAUUUUCAAAUGUUCAGACAAACAAAGAUUGCAGGCUUCAAAUCCUCUGUUCCCAAAGUAGCCUCUGUCCCUUAUUUGUGGUAAAAAAGAGUUUUAUUGAUUUGGGGUAAAAAAUAAAGAAGAGUUUUAGUUAAUUUCUAUGUUUAUGAUCAACAAGACUCUUUUUUGUUAAAAAGAAAAUAAAAAAAAAGUUUUGAGUUAUCUGUUUUAAUUGAUUUUGAGUAAACUUGUAAAUCGAUUAUUAUCGAUUUAUUUGAGUUCGGGUUAACAAAAGACUAAAGACACGUGGCAAUUGUACAAAUAAGGGACAUAGGCUACUUUGGGGACAGAGGAUUCGAAGCCAAGAUUGCAAAAAUAAAGAAGAGGGACUAACUUAUCCACUUUGAAGCAUUAUAUACAGUUUUGAAGAUAUUUUUGAGACAUAGAGGCAACGAGUUAGCAACUUUGUUGGGAUUCAUAAUGUCAGUUUUUGGGCCAAUUGCAAGAAUAAUACCAAACUUACAUAUCUAUACUAUACUACACAUAAAAUCUGAAGACGGGGUUUGGAGUUAACAGAAAAGCUGCAUCAUGUAAGCCAAUACAUCUUUGUUUUUGGAAAUAUGAAUGAUAUAAGAAACUGAAAGAAGAUAGUGAUAAGAUGGAAUGGUUAUUUUGUUUCAUGUAACCCUUCUGUUUCUUUAUCUCAUAGUGUCAUGAGAUUCCUUUUUAGCCUUCAGGAUCAUUUAGACGUUAGAGAAGGGGUAACUCAGGACAAAAGUAAAAGAUGAUGAAGAUCCAUUUUCAAGCUAAUUCAAGUGUUGAGGGCUUAAACAAAAUCCAAUAGCACUGCAAAGAUUUUAGUGUUUAAUAACUUUAAUUAAUUUAAUUUUCUUUGGAACUGGAAAAUCCCAUUUCUUUUCAGCUAUUAGGCCACAAAAUCCAAUAGCUUCCAAACUUCAUUUGCAUAUGAAAAAGAUAGAAAUCAAUUGAUUUCUAGUUUCUACUCAUAAUCUAAGAGGGGAGCCUUUCAUGUUAUUGUUUAUUAAGCCAACUGUCCCUUCAACUUCAAGAGAUCUUUUACUUUUAACUAAAAAUGCAUUGGGAAUAGAUGACUGAUACCAGCAAAUCAAUGCUUUUAUAGCAAUUUUGGUGCCUGCAAAAGAUCUCUACUCCAACAGGUUGCAUGCUUCAAAAAUGGAGCUUACAAAAAGCCCAUUGCCCUCCGGCAUGUGCUCUCUUUUCCAUUCAAUACAAGCAUAGCAAGUUUGCAUGAAAAAAAAAAAAGGACCCAUCUUUUAUGACAACAGAACCAUCUUCUUUUUUCAUUUUUCCCAAGGGUGGUAAAAUGAACUUUUGAACGUUUUCAUUUCUUGCUAUGAUCAGUUGUGUUUGUCCAUUCUUUUCGAACACUUCGACUCUAUUCCCAUGUUUGUACUUUUCUUUGCAUGCAUGGGUGACCUGCAUCUUGAUAUUCAAGUGAAAGUUGCAGAAAAAGAAAAAGACUAACUUGCAGAGUUCUUAUUUUCUGCCUCUCCAUUUCAAGUACAAAGAGAAAACGUCAUGUAUUACAUUUACAAAGUAGAAAACGUCAUGUAUUAUUCUGAAUAAUCUGCAAAUUUAUUUAUUUAUUUUUUGUUUAAUUAACAUUCUCGUAUAAACGUAGGCCAAGUUUUCUAAGUAAAAUUAAGAAGAAUAAAAGAGAGUUCUACACCAGCUACUUGGGAGGAAUGCACCAUUAGCUCAAUAUCUAGUUUGGUUUGGAUCUUUCAACAAAAAAUUUUCUCACCAUGCUGAUGGUUCCUGCAGUUCAGUGAGGGCACUACAAUCUGACAAAAGUUUGUUUCCUUUUUUUUUUUAAUUGGUAGAAGACAAUGGUCAAAAGAAAGAAACUAUUGUCAAACUAUUGUUUCUUUCUUUUGACCAUUGUCAAAUAGGAGUAUAGAAUGGGCAAUUGAAAGGAAUAUGAGUAUGAAUGUGCUUAAAUUUAGUAUACACAAACUUAGCCAGCAAAUUUGGUAAAACGUACAAAAUAAAAGGGCUUUGAAUGCAAUGUGCAAGGAUUAAAGAAUCUGUGUACAAUGUUGGUAUGGGUACAAAUUUUUCCUACACAGUAAAUUGAGCAAUACACCUAAACAUAUCAGCCAGGAGGACUUUCACCAUGAUGAGAAGGUGAUGAAGUGUCACUUUCUAGCUUUGAUUUAGUCCUUUUUCAAAGGAGCAUGAAAGCUUAUCUACACUGUUUACAAUUCUUUCACUAGACUGAAUGAUCUAUUUAUUCUGAUGG